This 444-nucleotide ribosomal RNA is filed under the name uncultured bacterium. RNAcentral's name for it is "partial 16S ribosomal RNA". It matches the Rfam family "Bacterial small subunit ribosomal RNA", at positions 331 to 792 of the family's 1533-position model. The record is from RNAcentral.
CCAGACUCCUACGGGAGGCAGCAGUGGGGGCUCUUGCACAAUGGGGGGCCCCCUGAUGCCGCGCCGCCGCGUGGGUGCCGGAGCGUUUCGGCGCGUAAAGCCCUCUCGGCAGGGCCGCCGGUGACGGUCCCUGCCCAAGAAGCCCCGGCUAACUACGUGCCCGCAGCCGCGGUCCUCCGUAGGGGGCCAGCGUUAUCCGGAUUUCCUGGGGGUCCAGGGAGCGGAGACGGCGACGCAAGUCUGGAGUGAAAGCCCGGGGCCCAACCCCGGGACUGCUCUGGAAACUGCGUCGCUGGAGGACGGGAGGGGCAGGCGGAAUUCCUGGGGGAGCGGUGAAAGGCGGAGAUAUCAGGAGGAACACCGGCGGCGAAGGCGGCCUGCGGGACCGUAACUGACGGGGAGGCGCGAAAGCGGGGGGAGCAAACAGGAUUAGAUACCCCUGUA